UGGGGAAUAUUGGACAAUGGGCGCAAGCCUGAUCCAGCCAUGCCGCGUGAGUGAUGAAGGCCCUAGGGUUGUAAAGCUCUUUCACCGGUGAAGAUAGUGAAGGUAACCGGAGAAGAAGCCCCGGCUAACUUCGUGCCAGCAGCCGCGGUAAUACGAAGGGGGCUAGCGUUGUUCGGAUUUACUGGGCGUAAAGCGCACGUAGGCGGAAUAUUAAGUCAGGGGUGAAAUCCCGGGGCUCAACCCCGGAACUGCCUUUGAUACUGGUAGUCUUGAGUUCGAGAGAGGUGAGUGGAAUUCCGAGUGUAGGGGUGAAAUUCGUAGAUAUUCGGAGGAACACCAGUGGCGAAGGCGGCUCACUGGCUCGAUACUGACGCUGAGGUGCGAAAGCGUGGGGAGCAAACAGG
RNAcentral lists this ribosomal RNA (404 nucleotides) under Actinomycetes bacterium. Its description in RNAcentral is "Actinobacteria bacterium partial 16S ribosomal RNA". It matches the Rfam family "Bacterial small subunit ribosomal RNA", at positions 355 to 776 of the family's 1533-position model. Lineage: Bacteria; Bacillati; Actinomycetota; Actinomycetes. The record is from RNAcentral.